UUAGCGGGCAUUGCGCCCGGCCCGCCACAGGAGUCGCUGGUGCGCAAUGAGACAAGGACAUCCCUACCGACCAAGCCCUCCCUAACCCGGACGACGCUAAGUUCCCUAACUCUAAAUCAAUAUAUUGCUUUAACUGAUUCUGUUGUCCUGAUCACAUCCUUGGGCAGCACAAUCAUCACUUCUUGCUGAUUUAUGUAUCCUCUGUAUGUAUUAUUGUUACUGUAAUUUAAUUAUGCCAAUGUGCUUUCAUUAAUUGAAAACCCUUAAUCUAUUUUAUGAGAAUUUGUAAGAUUCUUGAUCGCAUAAAAUAGACGGAGACCAGUCUUUCAAUAAUAGGUAACAGAAUCUAUUCUCGGAGCGUGCUCCCACUUUACCACGAGCAACAGUUUAUAUACAAAUCAUGACGUAAUUUCAUUGUUUUAACAGAAUCCCCUCCUCUCGACCGGGACAAAGUGAGGUGAAAAGUUCAUUCUAACUUACUAACACACUCCCAGCCUUGAACGUACAGGUCCCUCCACCAUUGCCUCCUGCCUCCCGUCCGGCUGAUGACCCAUCCCGUGCCCCCCAGGACCCACCCCUUGCCGUCCUGGACCAGGCCCACCUGAAUUCAUCCCAGGCUCCUGUCCUUGGGGCAAAGAGAAGAAGAGGAGGAUGUGCCCCGGCUGUCCUUCCUGCCUCCAAGGCCUGCCCAAGAAAGUGCUGAGCUGCUGCUUCCAGAGAGCUGGCGGGAAACUCUCAACAAGGAGCAGCAGCGAUGGAUUGGCAGGAAGCUGUUUACCAGGAGCAGGUCCCAAUUUCAUCACAGACUUGCGUCCAUGGUGGUACCCUCCCCAACCCCGGCCGGUCUACAAUCAGCCAUCCGCAUCACCCGACCCCUUCUUUGCAUGUACGCUGUUCCUCUGGAUGCCCGUUUGUAUGUGGGC
Molecule: non-coding RNA, 923 nt
Organism: Oncorhynchus mykiss (rainbow trout)
Lineage: Eukaryota; Metazoa; Chordata; Actinopteri; Salmoniformes; Salmonidae
Source: RefSeq, a predicted model, not a curated record